This 491-nucleotide ribosomal RNA is filed under the name uncultured bacterium. RNAcentral describes it as "partial 16S ribosomal RNA". It matches the Rfam family "Bacterial small subunit ribosomal RNA", at positions 28 to 507 of the family's 1533-position model. The record is from RNAcentral.
GAUGAACGCUGGCUACAGGCUUAACACAUGCAAGUCGAGGGGAAACGCCGGGGAAGCUUGCUUCCCCGGGCGUCGACCGGCGCACGGGUGAGUAACGCGUAUCCAACCUGCCUCUGACUGAGGGAUAACCCGUCGAAAGUCGGCCUAAUACCUCAUGGCAUCGUCUGCGGGCAUCCAACGACGAUUAAAGAUUUCAUCGGUCAGGGAUGGGGAUGCGUCUGAUUAGCUUGUUGGCGGGGUAACGGCCCACCAAGGCUACGAUCAGUAGGGGUUCUGAGAGGAAGGUCCCCCACAUUGGAACUGAGACACGGUCCAAACUCCUACGGGAGGCAGCAGUGAGGAAUAUUGGUCAAGGGGCGGGAGCCUGAACCAGCCAAGUAGCGUGCAGGAUGACGGCCCUAUGGGUUGUAAACUGCUUUUAGGCGGGGAUAAAGUGAGGGACGUGUCCUUCAUUGCAGGUACCGCAUGAAUAAGGACCGGCUAAUUCCGUG